GAUGAACGCUAGCGGCAGGCCUAACACAUGCAAGUCGAGGGGCAGCACAGAAACAGCAAUGUUUUGGUGGCGACCGGCGGACGGGUGCGUAACGCGUAUGCAACCUACCUUGAACAGGGGGAUAACGGAGAGAAAUUUCCACUAAUACCACAUAACAUCGAUCAAGGCAGCUUGAUUGGUUGAAAACUCCGGUGGUUAAAGAUGGGCAUGCGUUGUAUUAGGUAGUUGGUGAGGUAAUGGCUCACCAAGCCUACGAGACAUAGGGGGACUGAGAGGUUAGCCCCCCACACUGGUACUGAGACACGGACCAGACUCCUACGGGAGGCAGCAGUGAGGAAUAUUGGUCAAUGGGGGCAACCCUGAACCAGCCAUGCCGCGUGCAGGAAGACGGCUCUAUGAGUUGUAAACUGCUUUUAAACAGGGAUAAAGCACAGUAUGUAUACUGUGUUGAAGGUACUGUAAGAAUAAGGAUCGGCUAACUCCGUGCCAGCCGCCGCCGUAA
This 502-nucleotide ribosomal RNA is filed under the name uncultured bacterium. Its description in RNAcentral is "partial 16S ribosomal RNA". It matches the Rfam family "Bacterial small subunit ribosomal RNA", at positions 28 to 523 of the family's 1533-position model. The record is from RNAcentral.